AUUGAACGCUGGCGGCAUGCCUUACACAUGCAAGUCGAACGGCAGCACGGGAGCAAUCCUGGUGGCGAGUGGCGAACGGGUGAGUAAUAUAUCGGAACGUGCCCAGUCGUGGGGGAUAACGCAGCGAAAGCUGUGCUAAUACCGCAUACGAUCUAUGGAUGAAAGCGGGGGACCGCAAGGCCUCGCGCGAUUGGAGCGGCCGAUAUCAGAUUAGCUAGUUGGUGGGGUAAAGGCCCACCAAGGCGACGAUCUGUAGCUGGUCUGAGAGGACGACCAGCCACACUGGAACUGAGACACGGUCCAGACUCCUACGGGAGGCAGCAGUGGGGAAUUUUGGACAAUGGGCGCAAGCCUGAUCCAGCAAUGCCGCGUGCAGGAUGAAGGCCUUCGGGUUGUAAACUGCUUUUGUACGGAACGAAACGGUGAGCUUUAAUACAGUUUGCUAAUGACGGUACCGUAAGAAUAAGCACCGGCUAACUACGUGCCAGCCGCCGCCGUAA
RNAcentral lists this ribosomal RNA (500 nucleotides) under uncultured bacterium. RNAcentral's name for it is "partial 16S ribosomal RNA". It matches the Rfam family "Bacterial small subunit ribosomal RNA", at positions 30 to 523 of the family's 1533-position model. The record is from RNAcentral.